Octopus sinensis (East Asian common octopus) is the source of this 173-nucleotide long non-coding RNA. RefSeq lists it as uncharacterized. The record is from RefSeq and is a predicted model, not a curated record. NCBI's taxonomy places the organism in Eukaryota, Metazoa, Mollusca, Cephalopoda, Octopoda, Octopodidae. The transcript has 3 exons.
GUUCAAUUAAAUGGAGUUGCAUGAAACGAUCGUACUGCAUUACCUCUAGAUAUCCUUGUUGCCUAUUUUGAUUUUAAUCACCUUACAUUGAAAUUGUAUGGCUAAUACCGUACUAAAUCAUGGUGCCUCAACUUAAGUACCAUAUUCAUCUGAAUCUCUAUGUAUGUAUGUAU